AGUCGAACGAUGAAGCUUCUAGCUUGCUAGAAGUGGAUUAGUGGCGCACGGGUGAGUAAGGUAUAGUUAAUCUGCCCUACACAAGAGGACAACAGUUGGAAACGACUGCUAAUACUCUAUACUCCUGCUUAACACAAGUUGAGUAGGGAAAGUUUUUCGGUGUAGGAUGAGACUAUAUAGUAUCAGCUAGUUGGUAAGGUAAUGGCUUACCAAGGCUAUGACGCUUAACUGGUCUGAGAGGAUGAUCAGUCACACUGGAACUGAGACACGGUCCAGACUCCUACGGGAGGCAGCAGUAGGGAAUAUUGCGCAAUGGGGGAAACCCUGACGCAGCAACGCCGCGUGGAGGAUGACACUUUUCGGAGCGUAAACUCCUUUUCUUAGGGAAGAAUUCUGACGGUACCUAAGGAAUAAGCACCGGCUAACUCCGUGCCAGCAGCCGCGGUAAUACGGAGGGUGCAAGCGUUACUCGGAAUCACUGGGCGUAAAGGGCGCGUAGGCGGAUUAUCAAGUCUCUUGUGAAAUCUAAUGGCUUAACCAUUAAACUGCUUGGGAAACUGAUAGUCUAGAGUGAGGGAGAGGCAGAUGGAAUUGGUGGUGUAGGGGUAAAAUCCGUAGAUAUCACCAAGAAUACCCAUUGCGAAGGCGAUCUGCUGGAACUCAACUGACGCUAAGGCGCGAAAGCGUGGGGANNNAACAGGAUUAGAUACCCUGGUAGUCCACGCCCUAAACGAUGUACACUAGUUGUUGGGAUGCUAGUCAUCUCAGUAAUGCAGCUAACGCAUUAAGUGUACCGCCUGGGGAGUACGGUCGCAAGAUUAAAACUCAAAGGAAUAGACGGGGACCCGCACAAGCGGUGGAGCAUGUGGUUUAAUUCGAAGAUACGCGAAGAACCUUACCUGGGCUUGAUAUCCUAAGAACCUUAUAGAGAUAUGAGGGUGCUAGCUUGCUAGAACUUAGAGACAGGUGCUGCACGGCUGUCGUCAGCUCGUGUCGUGAGAUGUUGGGUUAAGUCCCGCAACGAGCGCAACCCACGUAUUUAGUUGCUAACGGUUCGGCCGAGCACUCUAAAUAGACUGCCUUCGUAAGGAGGAGGAAGGUGUGGACGACGUCAAGUCAUCAUGGCCCUUAUGCCCAGGGCGACACACGUGCUACAAUGGCAUAUACAAUGAGACGCAAUACCGCGAGGUGGAGCAAAUCUAUAAAAUAUGUCCCAGUUCGGAUUGUUCUCUGCAACUCGAGAGCAUGAAGCCGGAAUCGCUAGUAAUCGUAGAUCAGCCAUGCUACGGUGAAUACGUUCCCGGGUCUUGUACUCACCGCCCGUCACACCAUGGGAGUUGAUUUCACUCGAAGCCGGAAUACUAA
This 1365-nucleotide ribosomal RNA is filed under the name Campylobacter jejuni. RNAcentral's name for it is "bacterial SSU rRNA". It matches the Rfam family "Bacterial small subunit ribosomal RNA", at positions 60 to 1438 of the family's 1533-position model. Lineage: Bacteria; Pseudomonadati; Campylobacterota; Epsilonproteobacteria; Campylobacterales; Campylobacteraceae. The record is from RNAcentral.